GACGAACGCUGGCGGCGUGCCUAAUACAUGCAAGUCGAACGAGUGGCGGACGGGUGAGUAACACGUGGGUAACCUACCCAUCAGAGGGGGAUAACACUUGGAAACUGGGUCUAAUACCGGAUAGUGUGGGAUGGGCCCGCGGCCUAUCAGCUUGUUGGUGGGGUAAUGGCUACCAAGGCGCGACGGGUAGCCGGCCUGAGAGGGUGUACGGCCACAUUGGGACUGAGACACGGCCCAGACUCCUACGGGAGGCAGCAGUGGGGAAUAUUGCACAAUGGGCGCAAGCCUGAUGCAGCCAUGCCGCGUGGAUGAAGAAGGCCUUAGGGUUGUAAAGUACUUUCAGCGGGGAGGCGUUACCCGCAGAAGAAGCACCGGCUAACUCCGUGCCAGCAGCCGCGGUAAUAC
This 405-nucleotide ribosomal RNA is filed under the name uncultured bacterium. Its description in RNAcentral is "partial 16S ribosomal RNA". It matches the Rfam family "Bacterial small subunit ribosomal RNA", at positions 28 to 526 of the family's 1533-position model. The record is from RNAcentral.